AUGUGGUUAAUUCGAUGCAACGCGAAGAACCUUACCUGGUCUUGACAUCCCGGAGACCCUUAGGAAACUAGGGGGUGCUUCCAUCUGGAAGAAUCUGGAGACAGGUGCUGCAUGGCUGUCGUCAGCUCGUGUCGUGAGAUGUUGGGUUAAGUCCCGCAACGAGCGCAACCCUUGCCUUUAGUUGCCAGCAGUUCGGCUGGGCACUCUAAAGGGACUGCCGGGUGUUAAACCGGAGGAAGGUGGGGAUGACGUCAAGUCCUCAUGGCCUUUAUGACCAGGGCUACACACGUACUACAAUGGCCGAUACAAAGGGCAGCGACACUGCGAGGUGAAGCCAAUCCCGUAAAAUCGGUCUCAGUCCGGAUUGGAGUCUGCAACUCGACUCCAUGAAGUUGGAAUCGCUAGUAAUCGUGGAUCAGCAUGCCACGGUGAAUACGUUCCCGGGCCUU
This 449-nucleotide ribosomal RNA is filed under the name uncultured Desulfobulbus sp. RNAcentral describes it as "bacterial SSU rRNA". It matches the Rfam family "Bacterial small subunit ribosomal RNA", at positions 939 to 1382 of the family's 1533-position model. Lineage: Bacteria; Pseudomonadati; Thermodesulfobacteriota; Desulfobulbia; Desulfobulbales; Desulfobulbaceae. The record is from RNAcentral.